ACGAACGCUGGCGGCGUGCCUAAUACAUGCAAGUCGAGCGGAGUGAUGAAGAAGCUUGCUUCUUCUGAUUUUAGCGGCGGACGGGUGAGUAACACGUGGGCAACCUACCUUGUAGAUUGGGAUAACUCCGGGAAACCGGGGCUAAUACCGAAUAAUCCAUUUUGCUUCAUGGCGAGAUGUUGAAAGACGGUUUCGGCUGUCACUACAAGAUGGGCCCGCGGCGCAUUAGCUAGUUGGUAGGGUAAUGGCCUACCAAGGCGACGAUGCGUAGCCGACCUGAGAGGGUGAUCGGCCACACUGGGACUGAGACACGGCCCAGACUCCUACGGGAGGCAGCAGUAGGGAAUCUUCCACAAUGGACGAAAGUCUGAUGGAGCAACGCCGCGUGAGUGAAGAAGGUUUUCGGAUCGUAAAACUCUGUUGUAAGGGAAGAACACGUACGAGAGUAACUGCUCGUACCUUGACGGUACCUUAUUAGAAAGCCACGGCUAACUACGUG
Molecule: ribosomal RNA, 499 nt
Filed under: uncultured bacterium
Lineage: Bacteria
Description: bacterial SSU rRNA
Rfam family: Bacterial small subunit ribosomal RNA
Source: RNAcentral